This 4752-nucleotide long non-coding RNA is filed under the name Sus scrofa (pig). RNAcentral describes it as "lncRNA (ENSSSCG00005004923.1)". Lineage: Eukaryota; Metazoa; Chordata; Mammalia; Artiodactyla; Suidae. The record is from RNAcentral.
GGCUUGAUAGAGCUGCCUGGACAGGUGAUGGGAUUGGAUAUUGCCGCCCCACGUUCUCUGCCAGGGCAAGGCUGGAUUGAUUGCAUUAUUUAGAGUAAGCAAAACCCCCAAAAGCGAAGUGCUUGACUUUCAGGCUUUUCCUUCCAAAGGGGAGAGCUGAUGGCAGUUUAAUUUAAAAAGGGAGGCGGGGGUGACAAUGGAAUAUUCAAUCCAUGGUCAAUUCUCUGUUCUACAGGAUUUCAUUUUUGCUUACUUUCCAUGAAGUUGCUUUCAUUCAUGAUGUCUAGCACACGCUCUUGCCAGGAUGGCUGUGUGGAGGCUGGUGACAUUUGUAAGAAGGAGCAGCUGGAGGCUAAGGCAGCUGUGGUUUUUAACUAGCAGUCAGUGGAACUGGAGGUUUUCUAGGAGGUUAGCAGAGAAGGCUGGAAACUAAUUUCAGAAGGUCUGAUAUUUUAUUUUUCUAGUCCUUUAUUUUUGUUUCUAACAAGACUUAGCAUUAGAAAGAUCUAAAUGUUAGGUUAACUAAUGUAUAGAGGGAACCCAGAUUGUCGUAAUAAAAAAUAUAAACUGAGGAGUUCCUGUUGUGGCUCAGCAGAAACAAACAGGACUAGUAUCCAUGAGGAAGCAGGUUCAAUUCCUGGCCUCGCUCAGUGGGUUAUGGAUCCAGCAUUGCCAUGGGCUGUGGUGUAGGUUGCAGACACGGCUUAGGUUUGGUGUUGCUGUGGCUGUGGUGUAGGUCGGCAGCUGAGGCUCCAAUUCGACCCCUAGCCUGGGAACCUCCAUAUGCCAUGAGUAUGGCCCUAAAAAGAUAAAUGUAUCAUAUUUACACCAAAAUGGAAAGAAACCUUCCCUAUGGAUCAAUGUGGAACUCCAGCCGCAUAUGCAACCUGUCUUGCAGAUCGUGGCAAUGCUAGAUCCUUAACCCACUGAGUGAAGCCAGGGAUCGAACCUGCAUCUUCAUGGAUCCUAGUCAAGUUCUUAACUCACUGAGCCACAAUGGGAACUCCUUAACUUCAUUUUCAACCCUUGUCCCUCCUCAAGAGAAUGAAGGGUAGGGGUGACGAUUCCAAGCUUUUAGUCCUGGUUUCUUUCCGGUGGCCACCCCUUAUUCAGGAGCUCUUCAGAAGCCCACUCGGAGAAACGUCAUUAGAACAAAAUGUAUUCCUAUCACCCAGCAAAUUGCAGGGGUUUCAGAGGCCCUGGCUUGGGAAUCAGGGGCAGAGACCAAUAUUUUUUUAUUAUUUCACAGCCUAGAUGACCCCUCUCCCAAGAAUGCCUCUGUGGGAGAAAGAGCUCCUUGAACCGUGAUUACUUUCUUGAUGGUCCCACAGUGUCAGUGAACUGUGAUGAGGGCAGGAUGGGGAAGAAAGAGGCCAGGGAGUGGGUGAUGCUGGACCAGUCACUUUAGACUAUUCUCUCUCUGCUCCAUUUCCAUCCCUAUUCCUCACCUUCCAGUCACCCACUGAAACACCUCUAGGGGUCAGGGACAGCACGGACCCUAGGAGGGUCCCUGAAACACCACUCCUGGCCACCCUGCACUGCUCUUCACCAAAGGGCAGCUCUCGAUGGACAAGAAAAGGCCCAGACUAUUGCAAUCCAGUCUCUGUAAAAAUAUCCCGGAAGAAGUUCUCUCCAAACUUCUGUUGAGGCUCCUUCCUUUAGACGUGAUCGAUGGCGCCUUUUUCUUGGCUGAAAUUCAAAGAAACCUCUAACACGAAUGAGGAAACACUUUCAAUCACUUUGCAAUCCACAGCUUGUCUCUCCUGCUUCUCUAAGGUUAUUGCAUUAUAUUUAGAAUGUUUACUUAAAAAGUGUGUAGGGCUGACCGGAGCUGAAUCUCUGUGUCUUUCAUUAGAACACAUCCACAUUUUCUAGCACUGGGGGCCACUGGCAGGAUGCUAAAAAUAGUCCACCGAAUCCUCUCCUCCACCAGAAGGAUGGAGAAAACAGAAGAAGAGAGAAAACAGAAACUCCCUCUUGACCCCUCUCCCUGAAUUCCUCCUGCAACGGAGUGAAGGUUUUGCUCCAGGAAUAAAAGUUCUUUGCCUUGAAAUGAGGGCUAACAAGAAACUGGCACCUUCAGUCUGUUUCUGUGAAGCCGAAGGUGACAUGAGUGUUCUCGUCACACACUUGCUCUAAAACGCUAGCAACUUGACAUUACUUGCAGGACAGAGGCUGGAUGUCCUGCAUUUCAUUUCUGGGUUGCUUUUUAAUCAGUUCCAAUCACCCUGCGUUUCCCCUUCUGUUCUCGAAUUUUCACUUUCAGACUCAUCUCAUCAGUGUCCCCCAAUUCUUGCUGUUUUUCUGGUCCUUUGAUCACACUACUCUUUUCCAAACACCCGACUUCUUUUUUUUUAAACCGGUUUGGUUCAGCUCAUCUUUCCUGGAAGAACACCAAGCUCCCCUUCCAGAAAAGCCUGCCCUGACUUCCCAAAUUAUGAAGAAAUUUCCAGCCUCCUGCAGGACUCGACAGCAUUCUGCUCUUUCUGACGCUUAGCAAAUGAGAGUCUUACACAGGUAAUUUAUCUUUUAGAUGUGUGCAAGUUUUACUUUCUUAAUAUCUUGCAAACUUCUGGGAAUGUCGACUGUGUGUUUUAGUCUCUGUAUCUGAUGUAGCCAUUGACAAACAGUAGGUGCUUAAUUAGUGUUUAAGGAUUGCUUUAGGAAUCCUUGCUCUGUUUCCAUAGGGUGAAUUGAACAUACAUAUCAGCCAGGCCAGGGGGAGAACUCUCCAGGGUUUUUGUAAAGUGGUGCUUGAUAAAUGUUCCUUUUCCCCUAAAAUGCUUGUAGAGGGAUGUGAUGGGUGUUGGGAGGAGGAAGGUCACCUCUGUGGUUUAAAAAGAAAAAGAAAGAUAUUUCUUUGUACAGUAUCCUCACUGAGUCACAAGACCCUUGAACAUAUUAAAGGUGCUCAGAAAUCCUGCAGUAAAGAAAGCUCUUUUAUUUUGUUGAGUUUACCAUCUCCCAAAUUAAGUUGACUGUGGUACUCUUUUUAUUUUCAUUUUUCUGAGAAGUAAAUGACCUUUCGCAUCCACAAACACUAAAUGUCUUAGUCAGCUCGCUGGUUUAAACAACAGAAAUUUAUUUCUCACAGGUCAGGAGGCUGGGAGUCCAAGAUCAAGCCUCCAGCAUGGUUGGGUUUUUAGAAAGAGCCCUCUUCCUGGCUUAUAGAAGGCCAGCUUCUCGCUUUGUCCUCACCUGACAGAGAGAAAGAGAGCUCUGGUCUCUCUUCCUCUUCUUUUAAGGACCCUAAUUCCACCCCCAGGAUUUCAAUUAAAUCUAAUUGGCUUCCAAAGCACCCCCCCGCCCCCACCCGCUGCCGCCGCACCAAAAAAAUACCAUCACAUCAGAGGAUAGGGUUUUGAUUUCUGAAUGUGGGGGAAGGGUGGCCCAAACUUUCAGUCCACAACACAAAACCUCUGUCGAACACAUUUUGAAAGAAUCUUCUUCCUCUCAGGCUUUCCAGCUACCUUCCCUCCAAGCCACACUUUCAGUGAGCUUUUCUCAUCUGUGACUGACAUGGUCUCUUGGGUAAUUGGAUUUCAAUACUCUGUGAAGGGUUUAUUAUUUUGCCCAGUUUGCACUCUGAACAAGUGCCUCCCAUUUCUGAGGUUCUGUUUUGCAUCCUUUUCCAUAGGUCCGAAUGAGGAUCAGGGCAUCAAUCAAUAUUUCUGGUAACUGAGGUAACCACAAGAUGUAAAGUAGACAAUUUUUUGUUCUCCUGCCCUAUGUGAACAUUUUAGAGGUUUUCCUAGUCCAAUCGGAUUUUUAAAAAACACACAUGAAGUAAUGAAGUACUUGGAAAGCGAGUAAUAUGCCCACAAGUUGGGGUAAAGUUGGAGGUAAAUCCAAGACUUCUGGCUGCCAGGUAAGUGGCCUUUUCCAUACCUCUCUCUAACUUCUCAAUCGUGUGGCAUUGCCCAAGUCUGAAAUUUUCCUUAAUCUCUUGAAGUCAGCUUAGAUCAACCCAAACAGGAAAGAAAGUUACAUCUCAUUUCUGGUAAUCUGUACAAGAGGUUUCUGUACUGGGUUCCCUGUAACCAGACCCUUCGAUUCUUCUUUGCAAGGAACACUUUUCCUUCCCCCUCAAUCUGCUCGGCCUCCUGUGGGUGUUUCCAAGGCAAAGUCCCUUGAAAAAGGUGGCACUCAAGACAAAACCCAGUUCUCCAGAUGUGACCAGACUUGACAAAAUGCAGUGGGGCUCUUCCUGCUCCCUUACCCCAGGCCCACUGCUUCUCUUGCUGUGGGAGAAGGGUGUUACUCUUAGUGGAUCCAGAUAUUCUUUUCAUUAUGCUUUUGCCUGCCUCCAGACCUACUUGCUAUCUCUUAGCCUGGGGUUUGCUUUUUCUUUUUUUUUCUUUUCAUAGCUACACCUGUGGCAUAUGGAAGUUCCAGGGCCAGGGGUCAAAUCAGAGCUUCAGCUGCAGACUUACCCACAGCCACAACAACAAUGGAUCCAAGCCACAUCUGUGACCUGCACCAUGGCUGUGGCAACACCAGAUGCUUAACCCACUGAGCAAAACCAGGGGUCAAACCUGCAUCCUCACAGAGACAGCAUUUGGGUCCUUAACCCCCUGAGCCACAAUGGGAACUCUUAACCUGGGGUUUUGAGCCUUCCCACCAUUUGGUUCCUCUCCAAUUUAAUUUAUAACAUCUUUUGCUACAUCCCAGCUUUUGUCCUCUUGUCAGUCAAGCCUGCCUUACAUUUCCCUGUAUCUGCUUCUGCUUCACUUAAAAAAAAAAAAAUAAAAA